RNAcentral lists this long non-coding RNA (529 nucleotides) under Spirodela polyrhiza (greater duckweed). RNAcentral's name for it is "long non-coding RNA (SPOL_LNC001848)". The record is from RNAcentral. Lineage: Eukaryota; Viridiplantae; Streptophyta; Magnoliopsida; Alismatales; Araceae.
ACCCUUCUCAUUAGUGGAAACUGUAAUUUCAGAUUUUUAGGUACAAUAUGUAUGGGACUUACCCAUGGGCUGUCAGAUAUCACAUAGAUGAUCCUUGCAUCUAGCCACUUCACGAGUUCGGUUUUCACCACUUCAAGCAUCUUCGGAUUUAAUCUACACUGUACAUCUCUUAUAGGUUUGGCAUUAUCUUCGAAAAAAAUUAGAUGCAUACAUACCUUUGGACAGAUUCCAUGAAUGUCUACAAGAUCCAUCCAAUUGCCUCUUUGUGCUUUCUCAAUACAUCUAAUAAUUUUUCUUCUUGAUCACCUAUUAACUCAGAAGAAAUAAUUACUGGAAGAGAUUCAUUUGCACCUAAAAAAGUAUACUUCAUGUGUGAUGGCAAUGGUUUUAAUGUUAGAGAAAUAAUUUUUGGGCUUGCAAUCAGCUGCUCCUCCAUUAGCUCAAGGGGAUCCUCCAAUGCCCCACUUAAUCCUUUGCUGAAAAUUAUAUCUGUAUACUCAUCAAUAAAGUCAUAUAUAGCAUAAUUUUU